GCUCCCUUAGCUCAGCUGGAUAGAGCAACUGCCUUCUAAGCAGUCGGUCGUGUGUUCGAAUCACACAGGGGGCG
Molecule: transfer RNA, 74 nt
Filed under: Synechococcus sp.
Lineage: Bacteria; Bacillati; Cyanobacteriota; Cyanophyceae; Synechococcales; Synechococcaceae
Also listed under: 30 other names
Description: tRNA-Arg
Rfam family: tRNA
About the family: Transfer RNA (tRNA) molecules are approximately 80 nucleotides in length. Their secondary structure includes four short double-helical elements and three loops (D, anti-codon, and T loops).
Source: RNAcentral